CCUACGGGUGGCAGCAGUGGGGAAUAUUGGGCAAUGGGGGCAACCCUGAUCCAGCAACGCCGCGUGAAUGAAGAAGGCUUUCGGGGUGUAAACUUCUUUCCUCAGGGACGAAGAAAGUGAUGGUACCUGAGGAAUAAGCCACGGCAAACUACGUGCCAGCGGCCGCGGUAAUCCGUAGGUGGCAAGGGUUAUCCGGUUCUAUUGGGUGUAAGGGGCGUGUAGGCGGGAUCGAAAGUCAGUUGUCAACACCCAGGGCUCAACCCGGGACCUGCCUUUGAAACUGUGUUUCUUGGGUGCUGGAGAGGAAGUGGGAGUUCCGGGUGUGGCGGUGAAAUGCGUGGAUAUACGGGGGAAAACCAGUGGCGAAGGGGGAUUGCGGGACAGUAACUGACGCUGGGGCGCGAAAGCGUGGGGAGAAAACGGGAUUAGAUACCCGUGUGUC
This 442-nucleotide ribosomal RNA is filed under the name uncultured bacterium. RNAcentral's name for it is "partial 16S ribosomal RNA". It matches the Rfam family "Bacterial small subunit ribosomal RNA", at positions 338 to 794 of the family's 1533-position model. The record is from RNAcentral.